UGAUGUUUAGAAUUAGUUGCAAUGGCGCACAAAAGCAUCUAUUUUCCUGCCUUUAUUCCACAGUUGCAGCAGCGGCGGCACCUGCUACUGUAUUGGCGGAGUUCCUGGUAAACUCACUUGACUUCUCAACAAAAGAAGCCAUUUCUACAAGCGCCAAGCUAUCUCGUUCGAAACACAGACACUAUGACCCGCAUUUGUUAUUUGAUCUCCUUGAUGAAAUGGGUAUGAACAAAUCACAGAUCAAAACCCUUGUUUCUUCUUCUCCUCAAUUGUUGUUUUGUCGUGUUGAUGAAAACCUCAAACCCAAGAUUAAGGUUUUACAAGGACUUGGCUUAUCUGUAUCUCAACUUGCUACAUUUAUGACAAGAAGCAAUUUUUUGACAAGAGGUUUAGAUACUAUUAUACAGCCUAAUCUUGUUUAUCUAAGAGAUUUAUUGCCUACUCAUCAUCAUGUAGCUAUGAUUCUUAUAAAAGAGCCUAGGUUGCUUUCCUACAAUCUUCCUAAAGUUAUGCCACCCAAUAUAUCAUUGUUGCAAACUUUUGGCUUUUCAACGCCUCAUAUUCUCAAGGCUUUUCACAGGCAUCCUAGGUUUCUGCUCAAUAGUCCUGAGUGGUUUGAGAAAGCAGUACAUCGACUAGUAAAGGAUUUUCAUAUGCCUCUCAGUUCAGGGAUGUUUCUUCAUGGCGUUGAAGUACUUGUGUUCCUUGACGAAUCUAAAUUAGAAAGGAAAUUAGAUAUUUUUCGCAGUUUUGGAUGGUCUGAUUCUGAUAUCUGCCGAAUGGUGCAAAAGCUUCCUUACUGUUUGGCCUCAUCAGAGGCUAAGAUAAGGACUACAUUGAAGUUUUUCAUGAACGAGUUGGGGUAUGAACCUAAUUAUCUGGCUUCUCGUGCACCGCUUUUAAAGUUUAGCUUGGAGAAGAGGAUCCUGCCAAGGAAUGAAAUCUUGAAAUUUCUUAAAGAAAACCAGCUGCUAAAAGGGAGUCUAUGUCUUUACACUGCUGUGUCAUUUUCUGAAUCAGAUUUUCAAAAGAAAUGUGUACUUCCUUUCAGGGAAAAGAUGCCCGAGAUGUAUGAUUUAUACAUGAAAAGUAGAAGCUGAAGAGAAAUCCCUACAGUGGAGACAAUGGCUGCAGAGCAAAGAGGUAAGUGGGUCUACUAUCUUCAUUAUAUUUUGAAAGAGCACCUUCUAUCAACCCUGGUCAAGUGUGAGCAACUGGGCAUGAUGCUCUACAUGCAAGGACAAAUGAAUAUUAUGGUUGAGCUCAAAGGAUCAGAAGAGUGAUUUUGUCACCAGUUUCGAUUUGCUGCAAUGUUCAGAAAAGCCGACAUAGAGUUGCUAUGAGGAGGCCAUUAAUACUGAUUAUUUUUAAAAGCAAGGAUGUAGUUGAGAAAGUAUGUAUUAGCACAGCUGAUUUUUCUCUUGUUAACAUCUGUAAGGGUAAAUUAAGCUGUUAGAGAUAUAUGCAGCUUAUUUUGUUAAGAAUUUUAUGGUACAAUUUUCUCUAUCUCUAACAUGACUAUUAAAAAUGUUGUAUCAAA
Molecule: RNA transcript, 1540 nt
Organism: Solanum verrucosum
Lineage: Eukaryota; Viridiplantae; Streptophyta; Magnoliopsida; Solanales; Solanaceae
Exons: 3
Source: RefSeq, a predicted model, not a curated record